UACGAGUGGCCCGAGCGUUAAUCGGAAUUACUGGGCGUAAAGCGCACGUAGGCGGAUCAGUCAGUCAGGGGUGAAAUCCCGGGGCUCAACCCCGGAACUGCCUUUGAUACUGCUGGUCUGGAGGAUGAGAGAGGCGAGUGGAAUUCCGAGUGUAGAGGUGAAAUUCGUAGAUAUUCGGAGGAACACCAGUGGCGAAGGCGGCUCGCUGGCUCAUUUCUGACGCUGAGGUGCGAAAGCGUGGGGAGCAAACAGG
RNAcentral lists this unclassified non-coding RNA (253 nucleotides) under uncultured Rhodobacterales bacterium. Its description in RNAcentral is "contains 16S-23S intergenic spacer region". It matches the Rfam family "Bacterial small subunit ribosomal RNA", at positions 524 to 776 of the family's 1533-position model. Lineage: Bacteria; Pseudomonadati; Pseudomonadota; Alphaproteobacteria; Rhodobacterales. The record is from RNAcentral.